This 632-nucleotide unclassified non-coding RNA is filed under the name Hevea brasiliensis (rubber tree). Lineage: Eukaryota; Viridiplantae; Streptophyta; Magnoliopsida; Malpighiales; Euphorbiaceae. The record is from RNAcentral.
UGUGUCAUUGUUGCAAACAAAGAUAUACCCACCAAGAACCUCAUUCCUGGGCAGUGUCUCAGCAGCAGGCAAAGUCUUAAACCUUUUGUCAACAGCAUUGUUACCGUUGAUACUCUCAGUGUUUUUGUUAUUGCCAUAGCUGCUAGCGUCAUUUGUGUGGUUGCUACUGAACUUGCUAAAUGACAUAUUUCCCAAGCUGUUGACAUUGGAUUUCGGACAAACAGAAUUAACGUUGUGAAUGUCAUUACUGAAGGAGCUCUUGGUCGUAUUGUCAGUUAUCUUGGUAUCAAAAUUCAACAUGUUGAGGUAUUGGUUUUCCCACUUGUUAUCUUCCUGUAAACCAAGAUAAACCCUGAACCUACUUUCAGCUGAGCUUUUCGAAAGGUCAAGGUUAUUCACCCGCUCACCCUUGGACCUUAACUGCUCAGCCAAUUUUACAGUACCCGUUGUCCAUGUAUGAUCCUCCGAUACUUUUGAUUGUCCUCGAAGCUCAUCCCCGAAUUGCCAAUAGCUGCUCAUACCAUCCAUGUUGCGGAGUCAGACAAUUUAACUUACACCUCCAAAACCUACCUUUUUCUUCUCCAGGAAGACACAGAGAAGAGACGCUGAACACCAGUUCAAGUAUUUUGAAA